ACUACUAUACUAAAGGUUAUUAAUUAAAAAGUGGUGUACAGGUGAGUAUAAAGAUAUAAUUCGCCGGCCUUAAAGAGAAGGUAAAUCCUUCAUAAUAAAUAAAAGGGUACAGUUCCUGCUUUAAGAGGAUGAUAAAUAUCUUCGGGAUAGGUAGUAGUUAAGGUGAUGACUUAACUAGCCGACAACUCUCGUAGUCGAAUCUGAAAGGUUGAUCGACCACAUUGGGUCUGAAAAAACCCCAAUGCAAAUUAGUACAGCAGUGAGGAAUUUUGGUCAAUGGCCUAACGGCUGAACUGGCAACUUGGAGAAGUGGCAAGUCCUAUUUUGAUCAUAUCCUAAAAGAUGAUCUAUAGGAUUGUAUUAAAAUUGAAUAAAGCUUUGUUUAUAUAUUGAUAAUGACAGUAUAUAUAUCGUGUCUUGACUAAUUACGUGCCAGCAGUCGCGGAAAUACGUAAGAGACUAGUAUUAUUCAUCUUAAAUUGGGUUUAAAGGGUACCUAGACGGUCAAUAUAGCUUAUAUAAUGUUAGUACUUGACUAGAGUUUUAUAUGAGAGGGGAGUACUUGAGGAGGAGAGAUGAAAUUCUUUGAUACCAAAGGGACUCGGUAAAGGCGAAGGCACCCCUUUAGGUAAAAACUGACGUUGAGGGACGAAGGCACAGAGAACAAACAGGAUUAGAUACCCAAGUAGUCUUUGCAGUAAAUGAUGAAUGCCAUAGAUUAGAUGAAGAAUUUAAUAACUUAGUUCGUCAGUAAACAAUUAAUAUUAAAUCUUGUUUGGUCUAUAAAUGAAAGUGUAAGCAUUCCACCUCAAGAGUAAUGUGGCAACGCAGGAACUGAAAUCACUAGACCGUUUCUGACAACAGUAGUGCAGUAUGUUGUUUAAUUCGAUAAUACACGAAAAACCUUACCACAAUUUGUAUAAUAAUAUUACAGGAGUUGCACGGCUGUUUUCAGUUAAUGUUGUGAAACUAUGGUUUCCAUGUAAUUAACGAAAUCCCUGGCUUUAUUUUUGGAUGCGCUAGUCCCUCCGGGACCAGCAAGCUCUUUUUUUUUACUUAUUUUAGUUAUGAGGCGCAUGAAAGCGCUCUCAGAAUAAAAAAAGAGCUUGCGCCCUAAAAAAGAUUUUUAGGGCUCGCUACUACGAUAAGGCAUUAGAUCCUGGAUAUUUGGAUAGAAAAAGGGGACAAAGACAAGUCAUCAUGGCCUGCUGGAUGAUGUAGGAAAGUCAUCUGUGUGGGUAAAACUAUCAAACUCCGGGGACAUCCUAAAGAUUUUGAUACUAAACUAUAAUUGAAAAAUUAUAAGUGGCUGAAUUAAUUACUCAGAUAUAGUAAGAAGUCAAAAUAUGAACGAAAGUGAAAUGGAUUAUCGCGGAUCUAAAUCAGUAAUAUAUGAAAAUAUUGCUGUAAAAGAGCAACGAGUAGACGGUAGUUGAUACAUUAAAAAUAACUUAAUGUGUUUAAGGUGUACUCUAAUGGGUUUCGAGAGGAAUUAUCAAGUCAAAAUCCUUUCUAAACAAAUAAGUAAUAUAAGAAGAUAUACUUCUAUUACAACCCACAAGCCAUUAACUAUUACUAAACUUCAAUCUAGUUUAAAUCCAUGAUUUUUAACAGGGUUUUCGGAUGCUGAAGGAUCUUUCUCUAUUUUGAUUCAAACUAAUAGUAAAUAUGCUACAGGUUGAAGAAUUAAACCCGUAUUUACUAUAGGGUUACAUAAAAAAGACUUAGAUUUAUUGAAAAAUCUUCAAUCUUAUUUAGGAAUAGGUAAAAUUCAUAUUCAUGGUAAAGAUUCUAUACAAUUUCGUGUAGAUUCGUUGAAAGAUUUACAAAUUCUUAUAAAUCAUUUUGAGAAUUUUCCACUUGUAACCGCUAAACUUGCUGAUUAUAUUUUAUUUAAGAAAGCUUUUGAUAUAAUUCUUCUAAAAGAACAUUUAUCUCAACAAGGUUUGUUAAAAAUAGUAGGAAUCAAAGCAUCACUUAAUUUAGGACUUAAUAAAAAUAUAAAAGAAGCGUUUUCUAAUUGAGAAGAAUUACAAGUCAAUAGACCUAAUUAUACUUUUAAAUGUAUACCAGAUUCAAAUUGAAUGGCUGGAUUUGCUAGCGGAGAUAGUAGCUUUAAUAUAAAAAUAAGUAAAUCUUCUACUAGUACAUUAGGUCAAAGAGUUCAAUUAAGGUUCGCAAUUGAAUUAAAUAUUAGAGAAAAGGAUUUGAUACAACAUCUACCUACUUAUUUCAAGUUAACUAAUAUUUUAAAAAAUGUUUAUAUUAAUAAUCAGGUAGCAAGAUUUCAAAUAGUAAACUAUUCUGACAUUACGGAUAAAAUCCUUCCUUUUUUUGAAAAGUAUUUAAUACAAGGUAAAAAGAGUUUAGAUUUUAUAAGUUUUAAAGAGGUAGCCUUAAUUAUUAAAAAUAAAGAUCAUUUAAAAUUAGAAGGCUUUGAACAAAUCUUAGAUAUAAAAGAUAGAAUGAACAAGUAAUAGUAAAAAUUAAAGUAUAUUUAAUUUAUUUACUUAUUUGCACGAUAAAUUUGAUUGCUAUGUUAUAUUGUGGGCUAUAAACGUGCUACAUCUUCCUAGACAAAGAGAUGCAAAAAUGUGAAUUUAAGCUAAUCUCAAAAAAUAGGAUAAAAAUUUUAAGGAUUGUAGUCUGAAAUUCGACUACAUGAAUAAGUAAUUACUAGUAAUCGUGAAUCACCAUGUCACGGUGAAUUACUCUCGGAUUGGUACUAACCACUCGUCACAUGCUGAAAAGAGCUUAUGCAAUAAGUUUGCUUUCUUAGUAAUUAGUAAAAAAAACAUGUAGGUUUUGUGUAGAUAUGUUAUCUAUGAACAGCACCAAAGCUGUCUAUUAUUGGGAAUCUUCGUAU
RNAcentral lists this ribosomal RNA (2866 nucleotides) under Ophiocordyceps sinensis. RNAcentral describes it as "SSU rRNA". The stretch from base 1 to 1289 matches the Rfam family "Bacterial small subunit ribosomal RNA". Lineage: Eukaryota; Fungi; Ascomycota; Sordariomycetes; Hypocreales; Ophiocordycipitaceae. The record is from RNAcentral.